This is an RNA transcript of Globicephala melas (long-finned pilot whale), 3694 nucleotides long. It is a transcript of the gene named KIAA1143 ortholog, with no coding region annotated. The record is from RefSeq and is a predicted model, not a curated record. Lineage: Eukaryota; Metazoa; Chordata; Mammalia; Artiodactyla; Delphinidae.
GCGGCUUUGGGGUCCUGUUUUUCCCUAGCGCGGCUAUGAGCAAGCGGAACCAGGUGUCGUACGUGCGGCCAGCCGAGCCGGCGUUCCUGGCCCGCUUCAAGGAACGGAUCGGCUACGAGGAAGGGCCCACGGUAGAAACCAAGGUGAGCCCGGGCCAGUCCCGUUACCGCAGAAAUGCGGCCCGCUCCGCCAAUUCCAGCUUCUGGCUUGACUUGGAGGCCAGAUACUGAUGGGUCCCUCCUCGCACCCGCGCCCGGCCCCUAGUCCGAGUGUCCUCAGACCCCAGGCUGGUCAUCUUCAAACAAACUACUGCCUCUUUCGCCCAGGAAGCUAUUUGUCGUUUUCACAGUGCUGCUGUGUUUUUGAAAAUGACUUCACGCAGAGAAUCCAGCUUCAGCUCCCAGGUGAAGAUGGUGAUCACAGUGACAAAGAAGAUGAACAGCCCCAAGUGGUGGUUUUAAAAAAGGGAGACCUAUCAGUUGAAGAAGUCAUGAAAAUUAAAACAGAAAUAAAGGCUGCCAAAGCAGAUGAAGAACCAGCUUCAGCUGAUGGAAGAAUUAUGUAUCGAAAACCAGUCAAGCGUUCCUCAGAUGAAAAAUAUUCCGGUUUAAGAGCAAGCUCAAAAAAGAAGAAGACAAAUGAAGAAGAUGAAAUAAAUAAGCAGGAUUCAGUUAAAAAAAACUCACAAAAGCAAAUCAAAAAUAGUAGCCUCCUUUCUUUUGACAAUGAAGAUGAAAAUGAAUAAGUGUAAAUAAAUAUUUUGGACUUAGUCUUCUUUAAGAACAUACGGAGUAUUUUUUUAAAUAACAUCUUUUUUUCCUAUUAUAAUACAAGUUUAGGGACUUCCCUGGUUGUCCAGUGGUUAAGACCUCAUGCUUCCACUGCAGGGGGCACAGGUUCGAUCCCUGGUUGGGGAACUAAGAUUCCAUAUGUUGCACGGUAUGGCCAAAAAAUAAAAAUAAAACAUUAAAAGGAAAAAAAAAGAUAAUACACAUUCACUGGAGAAAAUUUAGAAAAUACAGAAAACAUUCAGUAAGAUAAAACAUAUCUAUCCAUCAAUACCCUUUUGACCUGAACUGCUAACUCUCUAGACAUUAACUACCACUAACAUUUUGUUAUUUCCUGUGUGUGGGAUGUGUGUGUAUGUAAAUUAUAUUUUUCUAAACAAAAUUGUGAUUGUAUUCUGUAUGUUCUCAGUCCUGCUUCUCACUUGACGUUGUAUCAUGAGCAUUUUUCUAGGUCAAUACAAUUCAAAAUCCUGACAAUAGCUACAGAGAAUGUUGUAAUUAAACAGAUCCUGUAUUUUAUCUUCCUCUUCAACAGAACCUCACUUUGGAUGAGGGAGAUGAUCAUGUGCCUAGUUACCAAUACUUCCCCAGCUUCUGCUAAGGGUAGCCAUGUGACAGCUCUGGCUGGUGGUUCUCAAAGUGUGGAUCCUUGACAAGCAGCAUCAGCACCCCUGGAAACCUAAAGAUGCAAAUUUGCAGGCCUUGCCUGAGAAUCAGAAAUUUCAGGUGUAGGGCCCAGCAUUCUCUGUAACAAGUCUGCCAGGUUGUUCUGAUGCUCACUCGAAUUUGAGAAAUACUGAUAAAGCCUAUUAUAAGGGAGAUAAAACAAAAAAUUUAAACAAGUAACAUGAAAGACUAUUUAAAAGAUCUUAAAUCUUGAAACUUAUCAUAUUGAUGAAGUCUUUACUGUAGGUGAUAUUUCUAACAAUGUUAAGUGUAAGUGUUACCAGCCAGGAAGCAUAUCUCAUGAUGAAAGCCCAAGACCAAGGUAGGGUGUCAGGUGACAUCUGCUAAGCAGCCUUAAGAAAAUUGCUUCACCUCUGUAAACUGCUUUCUAAGAACAGUGGGUCCUGUUAAUUGCAGAGAAAGGUGAAUGAGUUUGGGGCCAGAGAAGAGAGGCUAGUCCUUUUCCCUCACGAACUAUCCCCUUGCUUCUCAGAAGUGGACCAUAGGAGCAGGGCUAGACAAAUAGGCCAGUAAUGUAAUCCCAGGGCUGAGGCAGGAAUAGUAAAAGGACAAGCCUGGAACAUCUUGUGCCCAAAAGUAAGGCGGUCCUCAAAGAAUAAUGGGGGCAUGUCAAAAGGACACACCUGGAGGAGAAGGGCUAGGUCUUCCUUGCAGUAGAAUCCCAAUUAAUAAACGUAGGAGGAAUGAUGGAAAUAGAAAAAUCACCAUUUGGGGGACUUCCCUGGUGGCGCAGUGGUUAAGAAUCCGCCUGCCAAUUCAGGGGACACGGGUUCGAGCCCUGGUCCGGGAGGAUCCCACAUGCCGCGGAGCAACUAAGCCAGUGUGCCACAACUACUGAGCCUGCGCUCUAGAGCCCUCGAGCCACAACUACUGAAGCCCGCACACCUAGAGCCCGUGCUCCGCAACAAGAGAAGUCACUGCAAUGAGAAGCCCGUGCGCAGGAACAAAGACCCAACGCAGCCAAAAAUAAAAAUAAAAUAAAUUUUUUUAAAAAAGAAAAAGAAAAUCACCAUUUGGAAAAUUCCACAAUAAUAAGUUGCAGUGGUCUGAAUGGCAGCCUCCUAAGAGAGAGGUCCUAAUCCCUGGAACCUGUGAAUGUUACCUUACGUGGUAAAGUUUGCAGGUGUGAUUAAAUUAAGGCUCUCAGAGAAUCCUGGAUAAUCUGGGGAGGCUCUAAAAGCCAUCACACAUUUCCUUGUAAGAGAAAAGCAGACAGAGAUUAGACACAGACAAGACAAUGUGAAGAGAGGCAGAGAAUGCUCACAGCCACCAGAAGCUGGAAGAAACAAGAUUCUCCCCAAAAGUCUUCAGAGGGAGGGCAGACCUGCCAACACCCUGACUUCAGCCUAAUGAAACUGAUUUCAAACUUCUGGCUUCUAGAACUCUGAGAGCAUACAUUUCUGUUCUUUUAAGCCACCAAGUUUGUGAUAGUUUGUUACAGAGGCCAUAGUAAACAAAUACCUAAGUGGUGUUGGAAAGAUUCAUCAAAAGAUGUCAAAAUUAGUGGCCAGAAAUACGCUGAAAAAAUCACUAUUUGCAUAGUCUCAAAGUAUAUCUCCACCAGAGAUUACAAAAGGAAAACAAGUCAUUUACAGUGGAAAACCAGGCAGAUGCCACCUUAUCUAAAUGAUCAAAGUAACAUUACCAGUAAUAAGUCAUACUGACAUCAUGACCUCCUUACAUGACGCACUGAGAUGGGCACGUCACUUUCCAAAAGGGCCUUCCUGAUGCCCUUUUCAAGGAUAGGGCUCAAGUGCAGUACUAAAGAGGCCCAAGUCCUACAAGCUGACAAUGGCACAGGAAUGUCAAUACAGGCUCCAGGGCUUCUCUGUCAGUGUCACUGCAAAGAUGCCCAUUUAUACUUUCUUCUGAAGAAAUCCUUUAUCCUUGAGAUUAUAGGUUUCUUACCUCUGGUUUUUAUUUUAUGAAAUAAUGGUUAUAACAAAUAGCAGGUUAAUCUAAUGUGCUUACUUGUCAAAAUAAAAGGUCAUCAAAUCUAUAUCAGCGUCCAAAAAAUAUUUUGAAGUUUAUUGCUUAGGAAAGCCAAAUAUCAAGGCCAGCACUGUCUGAUAGAAUAUUCCACAAUAUGAUUCACUUUGUUAUACAGCAGAAACUAACACAACAAUGUAAAGCAAUUAUACUCCAAUAAGGAUGUUAAAAAGAAAAGAAUAUUCCACAAUAAUGGAAAUGUUUUACAGCUUUGCUGCCCCUAGCCACAU